Molecule: long non-coding RNA, 486 nt
Organism: Hippoglossus stenolepis (Pacific halibut)
Lineage: Eukaryota; Metazoa; Chordata; Actinopteri; Pleuronectiformes; Pleuronectidae
Exons: 6
Source: RefSeq, a predicted model, not a curated record
UGUGACAACAUCACCUCCAACACAUGUGGAUGCAUCAAUGCCAUCCCUGCUGAUGGACAGCAAUGUCAGCCACUGACAGAUGUCUUGAUUUGUCCAUCAACAACUCCUCCAGUUGUAACAACUACAACUGUUGCAACAACUAGGAAUACUACAGCAUUCUUAACACCAACCACCACAGCCAUAACAGAUUCAACACCUACAACACAUCUGAACACCACAACGGCUGCAACAACAACUGUAACAAAUUCAACAUCGGCUACAACACGUUUUAACACCACAACAGUAACAUCAACAGCAGUGGUAACAAAUUCCACACCUAUUGCUACAACAAAUCUGACCACUACAACAGCUGCAACACCAACUGUAACAAGUCAGUGAUUUUAAAUAAUUUUACAAAUGUCCUACAUUUUUGUCUGUAGUAUAUCCUCAUAUAUCAGAUUUUACUUUUACCAACACUAACAACUGUUGUUCGUGGUUGGUUUUCAA